Propithecus coquereli (Coquerel's sifaka) is the source of this 552-nucleotide non-coding RNA. NCBI's taxonomy places the organism in Eukaryota, Metazoa, Chordata, Mammalia, Primates, Indriidae. The record is from the annotation of a RefSeq genome assembly.
UCGGCCAUGCCCCUGCUGCUCCUCCUGGUGCUUGAGGGGAUUUUUGCCCUGGGAGGAACGGGGGCCCAGACAGUGACCCAGCCUGACCUUCACGUCACUGUCACUCAAGGAGCCUUUCUGGAGCUGAGGUGCAACUACUCAGUUUCUUUUACACCAUUCCUCUGGUGGUACGUGCAGUAUCCCAACCAAGGACUUCAGCUUCUCCUGAAGUACGUAUCGGGGAACACCCUGGUUAAAGGCAUCCAAGGUUUCGAGGCUGAAUUUAGGAAGAAUGAAUCCUCCUUCCACCUUCGAAAAACCUUCGCCCAUUUGAGCGACUCUGCCCAGUACUUCUGUGCUGUGAGUGACACAGUGUCUGGGGCUGCAGGGGGAGCUGAACACAAACCUCCUGAGACACUGGGACUUCCUGCGACUCAAGAACUCAACAUUGAAGGACCAUUUUUUACUGCUAUGGGUGAACAAGCAUCACCCAAGGGAAAUGUCUCCAUUAUCUUCUAUCACCACCAUGGCAGCACUGGACCAGCCAACAUCAACCUGACUCAAUUGGUCUGA